RNAcentral lists this ribosomal RNA (385 nucleotides) under uncultured bacterium. RNAcentral describes it as "bacterial SSU rRNA". It matches the Rfam family "Bacterial small subunit ribosomal RNA", at positions 28 to 418 of the family's 1533-position model. The record is from RNAcentral.
GAUGAACGCUAGCGGCAGGCUUAACACAUGCAAGUCGAGGGGUAUUUAUCUUCGGAUAGAGAGACCGGCGCACGGGUGCGUAACGCGUAUGCAAUCUACCUUUACAGCGGGAUAGCCCAGAGAAAUUUGGAUUAAUACCUCAUAGUAUUAUGAAAUGGCAUCAUUUUAUAAUUAAAGUCACAACGGUAAAGAUGAGCAUGCGUCCCAUUAGCUAGUUGGUAAGGUAACGGCUUACCAAGGCUACGAUGGGUAGGGGUCCUGAGAGGGAGAUCCCCCACACUGGUACUGAGACACGGACCAGACUCCUACGGGAGGCAGCAGUGAGGAAUAUUGGACAAUGGGCGCAAGCCUGAUCCAGCCAUGCCGCGUGCAGGAUGACGGUCCU